This 253-nucleotide ribosomal RNA is filed under the name uncultured bacterium. RNAcentral describes it as "partial 16S ribosomal RNA". It matches the Rfam family "Bacterial small subunit ribosomal RNA", at positions 524 to 776 of the family's 1533-position model. The record is from RNAcentral.
UACGGAGGAUCCAAGCGUUAUCCGGAAUUACUGGGCGUAAAGAGCUCGUAGGCGGCCUGUCGCGUCGGAUGUGAAAGCCCGGGGCUUAACCCCGGGUCUGCAUUCGAUACGGGCAGGCUAGAGUGUGGUAGGGGAGAUCGGAAUUCCUGGUGUAGCGGUGAAAUGCGCAGAUAUCAGGAGGAACACCGGUGGCGAAGGCGGAUCUCUGGGCCAUUACUGACGCUGAGGAGCGAAAGCGUGGGGAGCGAACAGG